This 253-nucleotide ribosomal RNA is filed under the name uncultured bacterium. RNAcentral's name for it is "partial 16S ribosomal RNA". It matches the Rfam family "Bacterial small subunit ribosomal RNA", at positions 524 to 776 of the family's 1533-position model. The record is from RNAcentral.
UACAGAGGUCUCAAGCGUUGUUCGGAUUCAUUGGGCGUAAAGGGUGCGUAGGUGGCCAACUAAGUCAGACGUGAAAUCCCCAGGCUUAACCUGGGAACUGCGUCUGAUACUGGAUGGCUUGAAUUCGGGAGAGGGAUGCAGAAUUCCAGGUGUAGCGGUGAAAUGCGUAGAUAUCUGGAGGAAUACCGGUGGCGAAGGCGGCAUCCUGGACCGAGAUUGACACUGAUGAGCGAAAGCUAGGGGAGCAAACGGG